This 2332-nucleotide long non-coding RNA is filed under the name Anas platyrhynchos platyrhynchos (common mallard). RNAcentral's name for it is "lncRNA (ENSAPLG00000027274.1)". The record is from RNAcentral. Lineage: Eukaryota; Metazoa; Chordata; Aves; Anseriformes; Anatidae.
CACGCAGCUAAAUUGAGGGGCUUGCUUGUUUGUUCUUCACGAUCCCUGUAAAGAGAAACAUUUUAGGUUGGAGGGAGCUGGAAGGGAAGGCUGGAGGCAGCCUGGGAGGCUCUCCUUCGAGGCAGAUCUCCUCCCUGCUGGCUGACCUGGGUCAGGAUUUUCCCCUGGGCAGCCCUGUCUGGCCGUUCCCAUCAGGGAGGAUGGCCAGCACCGGCUGGAGGGCUGUGCUGGAGGGGGCACUCGGGACAAGGGGCUUGCUGUGCAGCUUCGUGCGCCACAGUGAAGCUGGAGCGGGUGCCACACAGCUGAAUCAGGGGCUGUGCCUGUGGCUUUAACUUCAUUUUCUGCUGCAGGCCUCCUGGUAUGUAAGAAAGCAAAUUCAAGCAUGCCGCUAUGUUCACCGAGGCAGCAAACUUGGGGGGGGGAGGGAGGUGGAGAAAAUUCCCCUCCUUCUGCAGUUCAUGGUGUUCUUCUAAACUAUUUAUAAAUAGGUCUACUGUAGCCAGUGUUUGCAUUUGGACUGCUUCACUGUUCUCGUUUUCAAGGCUUCUCUUAGAUCUGACAGUAAAGGUCAGGUUGACUCCCCUCAUCUGAAAUGAAGAGGGGAAGAAAAUUAACCCUGUAGUCAGGUGGCUCAAAGGCAGUAAUUCCCAUCAACGUGAGCAAGUUCUCCGUUGUGCGUGGCUGGGGCAGAGCGCCGGACCCACUCUCCCUUUUGCUCCAUUUUCGUUUCCCUGCCCUCUUCAUUAGCUGCUGACAGUUUUAGCUUCCUACGUCCAUUUAAAGAGAUUCCCCCCGCACAUCAUCUGGGAUUCAUGAACUGCAGAGAUCUGGCAGGACUCAGAUACCUCUUUUCUUGGAGCAGCUCAGCAGAAGAACACAAAGAUGUCACUUCUGGCAUGGAUCACCCAGCGGCGCAUCCCUGGAAGAUGGACUGGUGCUCAGGUGCUGAGGUUUCAGGUCAGACAGAACCCAUGGGGAUGCUUCUUAAUGCACCAGCCUGGCUCCAUCCAGCUUGCCAGCACCAAAAGGAGGCAUCCGACCCCCACAAGGCACAGGCAACUCCACUGCUUGUCCUGCUCCUGCUGACUUCUUCGCUGACCGGCAGCAGCCUGGUGUUGCUCAAUGCUCCCUGUACGUGUCUGUGCCCACCUGAGUGCAGGAUACGGCCUCCCCCUGCCCGUCACAACCGGGGCCAUCACCCAUGCUCAAUCACACCACAUCCCUCCGCAUGUGAAGCCUGCAAGUUUUGGGGCAUGUGUAGAAAUGGUGAGAAGGUGGUGGAACACCAUCAGGGGUUCGGUCACACGUGGUGUGCUCCCAGCAGACCAGCACAACAGCUCAGGGAGCAGAUACUGCAACGUGUUAAGUCAUUUAUUUGAUGAUGAGGCAGAGAAAGCCAAGAGGACUAGCCUAGAGGAAAGCCUCAUUGCUAUGUGGUGAUGUUUCAAAAUUCCCCUUUUUGUUCUUCCAGCAGCCCAAGUACCUCGUUGGCUUUUCAGACGUGAUCAGAACACUGCUCAGCAUGGGAAGGGUGGGGAUGCCACACUUUCAUGAUGAGCCAGGAGAGGCCACGCUAGCCAGGGUUUGCACGGUAGCCCCAGCAGGCUUUGCAGAUGGAAGCUGUUUUAGGAUAAUUUGGUGUCUUUCUAUUCUGCAGAUUUCUUAACGUGUGUGUGUGAGCAGUUGGCUGCUGGGACAGGAAGAUGUGACUGUGCAGGCCCUUUGCAGCACUGAAAGCAAACCUGGUGCAGGUUUGUUCACGAGCUGGUGAGUGUUGAAGAUCCACCCAUGCUUGGUUAUCCUGAAGAGCUGCUCCUGGCUGCAGGUGACACCUACCAGGAGAGGCACUUCCCCAUUCCUCCAUACCCGUGGCAGACACCUCUGCUCCCUAGAGGCUGUGACCAUCAUGCAGCCACAGCUGUCCCCUCAUCAAUCCUAAAGGUGGAUGCAGUGAGACCCAGCACCAUCAGAGCUGACCGCACACGAGGCAACUCAUGUCUGGAAGCAGUCAGGCUCUGCUGAGCACCAGAAGGCACAUGGGUGAGUUACCUUAUAAGCAGCCUAGACUUAAAUUAAACAUGGUUUAUAAGUAGAGGCAUAACGGAGGCAUAUUGGGAGGUUAUGUGCCAUUAUAGGGUGCUUGGGAUGUGCUCAUGUGGGUCUCCACCAAUGUGGAGAUCCUGUACUGUGCUCAGUUGUGGGGCUGCCAAGGAGCCCUCCUCGUCCAGCAGCUACAGACGAUGGCUUUGUGGGUGAUGAUCUGCUUACAUGGGCUUCUGCAUUCAUUGUAUAGAAUAAAUAAUUUACCACUAAUGUUUGGGAUUUGUAG